AUGAUUGAGGAAGAAUUUGCUACGCCAAAAAAGAAAGCCAGCAUUCUUCUAUUUUGCUGGUCUUUUAAACCAAGAUGCGACGAGAAAUUGAAGCCUAAAGUGGGGAGGUCAUUUGAAGGGCUUGAGACCGUGGAGGAGUUAUACAAGUCAUAUAGGCAUCAUGUGUGUUUUGGAGCUCGUGUUGGACAGCAGAAAAAGUUGAACAAUGUGGUGGUUAGGAGAAAGCCAGAUGAUGUUCCGUCCCUUAGUCUGUUAAUAUACAUGAAUUUAAACGAGUUAUUAAUGUCGAUUUCUUUGAUGUACUGGAUUCUCGUAAUGGUUGGAAUUAUGUGUUUUGUCAAACUGUCUUCCUCUUAUUUUCUCUGA
RNAcentral lists this ribosomal RNA (366 nucleotides) under Triticum aestivum (bread wheat). RNAcentral describes it as "partial small subunit ribosomal RNA". Lineage: Eukaryota; Viridiplantae; Streptophyta; Magnoliopsida; Poales; Poaceae. The record is from RNAcentral.